CCGGAACCUUCACAACAUCAACAACCCCUGUAGACUGUGGUAAACGAUCUGCAAAAACGCCACCAUCGAAGUUAAGGCCAUAAGGUCGGAUUAGAACAAGAAGAAGAAUCUCGUUGUUGAUCAGCUGGUGAAGUCUGUGGAGAAGCUGAAGCUUUCGUCAAAAGAUGCAGAAGAGUCCAACUCGAGUUCCAAAAAGUGAAUGGAGCCAACGAAUCAACAAAGAAUUGAACAAAUUAAUCCGUGGAAGGAAGAGUGUCCUUCUCAAGAAAGGUGCAGACAUUUUGCAAGGAUGCAACAUUUUCUCGGCAUGUGUUAUAGAAAUGCAAACAAGCUGCCCUCUUCUUUUUGA
Long non-coding RNA from Ostrea edulis (European flat oyster), 349 nucleotides. RefSeq lists it as uncharacterized. NCBI's taxonomy places the organism in Eukaryota, Metazoa, Mollusca, Bivalvia, Ostreida, Ostreidae. The transcript has 3 exons. The record is from RefSeq and is a predicted model, not a curated record.